ACUUAUCAUAAGCCCAUGGAUUCAUAAUAAUCUGUUUCUUUUUGCCCUUCUCCCUCCUUUUUAGAACUUUGUAGACAGGACCUGGAACAGAAGAGGUGCUUUAUAAAGGUCUUCUGAGUGUAUAAAUAAAUGGAUGGCUGAAUGCUGUUUUGAGCGUUAAGGGCCUUAGCUGACAGCACCCAGAAUACUCUACUGGCUAUUUCUGAGAGCACUAAGGAGAAAGAAGCAGCUCACACACGUGCAAGGACAAGUUCACUCAUGCUUGCUUUAGACCUGACCAAACUACUUGCUGGGCAUCUGGGAGAAUUGCGGCCUGUCUGCCAGUGCUGUGUGCUGCAUUCCCUCCUGCUGUUUCACUGGGCCCAGACCUUCUCCCCUGGAAGACUUCCUGAGUCCUCAGGGCAUCUUGGCUGCACUGAGACCUAUGCGAAGUAUUGGUGGUGGUUCUGGCCACAGUUCUUCCUCCCUUCAUCUUAACUGAAACAAAUAAGCAAUCAAUCAAAUAAAUUUCUGUGCCGCAGGAAGAACAGAUACUGCAGCUCUCCUCCACUGGCAUCAUCUCUCCUCUAGUGCUCUUUGGAAAAAACAAACCGACAAAGCUUUUUUCCUUUUACCAAA
RNAcentral lists this long non-coding RNA (618 nucleotides) under Rhinopithecus bieti (black snub-nosed monkey). RNAcentral describes it as "lncRNA (ENSRBIG00000046094.1)". Lineage: Eukaryota; Metazoa; Chordata; Mammalia; Primates; Cercopithecidae. The record is from RNAcentral.